GGAAAUCAAAUAGCUUUUGAUUAAAAAAGGCAGCAAUCUGUCUCAUGUUAGAGCUCACUACCACUCUGGUUAUGCUGUGCAUUGUGUGUAGAGACCAUCUGCAGCAAUGCCUGUCGAGGCAGCAUCAGCUCACCAUCCCCACAGUAUCGUGAGGCACUGAUAAAAGACACAGAACUUGUGUUCACAAGUGUGAUAGAGGAAAAAAAUCCUAACCUGAGGGCUUUUAUGUAGUCAGAGAAGAGAUAGAGCCAAGAGCUACAGGAUGUUCAUGUGCCUGAGAGCUUAGAAGCCAGAACUGGAAUUAACUGAGGAUGGGGGACAACAGUGUUCAAAGGUGCACUGGGGAAAGCAGCCUGGGCUGGCCGCUGCCACUACCAAGCCUCUGGUAGCUGCAGGUGCUGCUGCUGAAAGCCACCUCACUGCCUCCUGGUCUGAGGUCCCCAUCUUCCACUCGAGAGCACAGAGGAGGCCCACAGACGGAGCUCUGUGCGUACGCUGCCCUUGCAGGAGCAGGAUGGCUAAAAGCUGCUCUCGUUCUGCCCCACCCCCAGGCACUUAGAAUUUUAGAGCACUUUUCUGCUGUGUAAAUGAUCCACAUUUCUGGCUGACGCUCUCCUGAGAUGGCCCCGGAGCCACUAAAACACAGAUUCCACAUCACCCAUCUCCACGCAGACAGUCUUCAGCUGCGAGUAGUACUCGAUGGCUGCCCGCCCGUUCUCUCUGCCAAAUCCUGAUGACUUGUAUCCCCCGAAAGGCAGCUCCACGGGGCUGACAUUGUAGUUGUUAAUGAAGCACAUCCCAGCCUUGAGAGCAGCUACUACCCUGUGAGCCUUCUGGAUAUCCCUGGUGAAGA
This 853-nucleotide long non-coding RNA is filed under the name Gallus gallus (chicken). Lineage: Eukaryota; Metazoa; Chordata; Aves; Galliformes; Phasianidae. The record is from RNAcentral.